Molecule: ribosomal RNA, 445 nt
Filed under: uncultured Streptococcus sp.
Lineage: Bacteria; Bacillati; Bacillota; Bacilli; Lactobacillales; Streptococcaceae
Description: bacterial SSU rRNA
Rfam family: Bacterial small subunit ribosomal RNA
Source: RNAcentral
AGCAUGUGGUUUAAUUCGAAGCAACGCGAAGAACCUUUACCAGGUCUUGACAUCCGAUGCUAUUUCUAGAGAUAGAAAGUUACUUCGGUACAUCGGUGACAGGUGGUGCAUGGUUGUCGUCAGCUCGUGUCGUGAGAUGUUGGGUUAAGUCCCGCAACGAGCGCAACCCCUAUUGUUAGUUGCCAUCAUUCAGUUGGGCACUCUAGCGAGACUGCCGGUAAUAAACCGGAGGAAGGUGGGAUGACGUCAAAUCGUCAUGCCCCUUAUGACCUGGGCUACACACGUGCUACAAUGGUUGGUACAACGAGUUGCGAGUCGGUGACGGCGAGCUAAUCUCUUAAAGCCAAUCUCAGUUCGGAUUGUAGGCUGCAACUCGCCUGCAUGAAGAUGGAGUUGCUAGUAAACGCAGGUCAGCUAUACUGCGUUGAAUACGUUCCCGGGGCUU